RNAcentral lists this ribosomal RNA (253 nucleotides) under uncultured bacterium. RNAcentral's name for it is "partial 16S ribosomal RNA". It matches the Rfam family "Bacterial small subunit ribosomal RNA", at positions 524 to 776 of the family's 1533-position model. The record is from RNAcentral.
UACGGGGGGGGCAAGCGUUGUUCGGAAUUACUGGGCGUAAAGGGCUCGUAGGUGGCCAACUAAGUCAGACGUGAAAUCCCCAGGCUCAACUUGGGAACUGCGUCUGAUACUGGAUGGCUUGAAUUCGGGAGAGGGAUGCAGAAUUCCAGGUGUAGCGGUGAAAUGCGUAGAUAUCUGGAGGAACACCCGUGGCGAAAGCGGCGAGCUGGAUCACUACUGACGCUGAGGAACGAAAGCUAGGGGAGCAAACAGG